GAGUGACUCCAAAUCGAUCCAACUGUCAACGCAUCCCCAAGUUACUGACACCUGUCCUUUUUUAAUACUGAUAUCACUCUUUUCGGCGCUUCUCUCUCCGCCGUGACAACAAAAAUGGCUGUUUCUCUCUCCGCCGCCUCUCACUUAACCAGAGUCUCUCUUUCCCCCUCCGUCGCCUCCUCCACCUCAGCUCCUCUUCUCGUUGCGGUUUCUUCCUCUACAUCAUCAUCGCCACAUUCUCUUUCUUCUCUUCGAAGCGUCGCAUCUUCCUUUCCUCAUUCCUCCCUCGUUCAGAAAAGGAAUCCGAUUUAUGGGAGGAGGAGCAAGGGGAUGAUUUCACCAAAAGGUGCCGCUUCUGAUGCAGCUCAAUUGAAAAGUGCUAAAGAAGACAUCAAAGUGCUUCUCCGGACUAAGUUUUGCCAUCCCAUUUUGGUUAGAUUAGGGUGGCACGACGCUGGUACAUAUAACAAGAACAUUGAGGAGUGGCCACAGAGAGGUGGAGCUAAUGGAAGUCUUAGAUUUGAGCCUGAGCUUAAACAUGCUGCUAAUGCUGGUCUCAUUAGUGCUUUAAAGCUCAUUCAACCUAUCAAAGACAAGUAUCCUAACAUCUCUUACGCCGAUUUAUUUCAAUUAGCUAGUGCCACUGGAGUAGAGGAAGCUGGUGGUCCUGAAAUCCCGAUGAAAUAUGGGAGAGUUGAUGUCGUAGCACCUGAGCAGUGUCCGGAAGAAGGAAGACUCCCUGGUUAACUAAUCUUUUCCAUUAUGCUGGACCUCCUUCACCAGCUGAUCAUUUGAGAGAUGUAUUCUACAGAAUGGGACUAAAUGACAAGGAAAUAGUUGCCCUGUCCGGGGCACAUACUUUAGGACGAGCCAGACCAGACCGUAGCGGUUGGGGAAAACCUGAGACAAAGUACACGGUAUAAUAAACUACAAAAUGAAACUUCGUUAUAUUGUUGUUGCAAGGAACCCAUGGCUUUGAGGUUUGAAGUUCCAGGAACCCUAAAUUCUCCACACCUACAGAAACAUAUUAAACCCAAAAUCUCAGUCUCGAUCAAAAAUAAAGAAACUAGAACAAAAUUUAAAAAGCAAAUUCGACUCACAA
Non-coding RNA from Camelina sativa (false flax), 1102 nucleotides. Lineage: Eukaryota; Viridiplantae; Streptophyta; Magnoliopsida; Brassicales; Brassicaceae. The record is from RefSeq and is a predicted model, not a curated record.